Molecule: transfer RNA, 72 nt
Filed under: Ornithorhynchus anatinus (platypus)
Lineage: Eukaryota; Metazoa; Chordata; Mammalia; Monotremata; Ornithorhynchidae
Rfam family: tRNA
About the family: Transfer RNA (tRNA) molecules are approximately 80 nucleotides in length. Their secondary structure includes four short double-helical elements and three loops (D, anti-codon, and T loops).
Source: Rfam by way of RNAcentral
AGCAGAGUAGUCUAGUGGAAAGAGCUCGGGGCUGGGAGUCAGAGGACCUGGGUUCUCAUCCCAGCUCUGCUA